UAACACGAACCGUGCGAACGUUAUUCGGAAUCACUGGGCUUAAAGGGUGCGUAGGCGGCUUUGCAAGUGAGGUGUGAAAUCCCUCAGCUCAACUGAGGAACUGCGCUUCAAACUGCAUAGCUAGAGGGAGACAGAGGUAAGCGGAACUGAUGGUGGAGCGGUGAAAUGCGUUGAUAUCAUCAGGAACACCAGUGGCGAAGGCGGCUUACUGGGUCUCUUCUGACGCUGAGGCACGAAAGCUAGGGUAGCGAACGGGAUUAGACACCCCGGUAGUCCUAGCUGUAAACGAUGAGUACUGGAUCGGGGAACCUUCCACAGUUUCUCGGUCGUAGCGAAAGUGUUAAGUACUCCGCCUGGGGAGUAUGGUCGCAAGGCUG
RNAcentral lists this ribosomal RNA (377 nucleotides) under uncultured Planctomycetota bacterium. Its description in RNAcentral is "bacterial SSU rRNA". It matches the Rfam family "Bacterial small subunit ribosomal RNA", at positions 521 to 896 of the family's 1533-position model. The record is from RNAcentral. Lineage: Bacteria; Pseudomonadati; Planctomycetota.